UUUAGCGGCGGACGGGUGAGUAACACGUGGGCAACCUACCUUGUAGAUUGGGAUAACUCCGGGAAACCGGGGCUAAUACCAAAUAAUCCAUUUUGCUUCAUGGCGAAAUGUUAAAAGGCGGCUUCGGCUGUCACUACGAGAUGGGCCCGCGGCGCAUUAGCUAGUUGGUAGGGUAACGGCCUACCAAGGCGACGAUGCGUAGCCGACCUGAGAGGGUGAUCGGCCACACUGGGACUGAGACACGGCCCAGACUCCUACGGGAGGCAGCAGUAGGGAAUCUUCCACAAUGGACGAAAGUCUGAUGGAGCAACGCCGCGUGAGUGAAGAAGGUUUUCGGAUCGUAAAACUCUGUUGUAAGGGAAGAACACGUACGAGAGUAACUGCUCGUACCUUGACGGUACCUUAUUAGAAAGCCACGGCUAACUACGUGCCAGCAGCCGCGGUAAUACGUAGGUGGCAAGCGUUGUCCGGAAUUAUUGGGCGUAAAGCGCGCGCAGGCGGUCCUUUAAGUCUGAUGUGAAAGCCCACGGCUCAACCGUGGAGGGUCAUUGGAAACUGGGGGACUUGAGUACAGAAGAGGAAAGCGGAAUUCCAAGUGUAGCGGUGAAAUGCGUAGAGAUUUGGAGGAACACCAGUGGCGAAGGCGGCUUUCUGGUCUGUAACUGACGCUGAGGCGCGAAAGCGUGGGGAGCAAACAGGAUU
RNAcentral lists this ribosomal RNA (702 nucleotides) under Paenisporosarcina quisquiliarum. Its description in RNAcentral is "bacterial SSU rRNA". It matches the Rfam family "Bacterial small subunit ribosomal RNA", at positions 91 to 779 of the family's 1533-position model. The record is from RNAcentral. Lineage: Bacteria; Bacillati; Bacillota; Bacilli; Caryophanales; Caryophanaceae.